GGGGAAUAUAAGAUUGCUUAUUAUUACUCUAGAGUCAAGAAAUAAGGAAAUCAUUAGCUAAAAAGGAAAUUAUGGACUGGAAAGCAAAUAUGCAAGGCAAUCAUUGAAAGUUUGUGUUGGCGAAAACUCAAAACGUAGCCCCAUUGAAGGAAAGAUUGCCUUUUGAUGGGGUAAAAUAACAUUGCUUACUAUUACUCUUUAUACAAGGAAAUCAUGUGUUGGACAUCAAACAUAUAAACAAAUCAUUGAAAAUUUGUAUUGGUAAAAAAUUCAAACCUAGCCCAGAAAUAUUGCCUCUUUAUUUUUUUGGUAAUAUAAUAUUGCUUAUUAUUACUCUAGAUAUAAGGAAAUCAUUGCCGAAAACGGAAACUAUGGACUGGUGAGCAAACAUACAAGGAAAUUAUCGACUAAAAACUAAAAUAUAAGAAAAAGCAACCAUCGCAAUGACCCCUACACCCCUUGGGCCACGCCUUUAUAACAAUGCAUUUGAGCAAGUUUUUAGCUAAUGAAUAGGGGAAUAAAUGUCAUUUUAGGCAUUUUCCCUCAUAUUUCCUCUCCAAAAUAAUAUGGACGAAAAAGAACUUUAACUGGCCUCAUCCACCUAUUUUGAUCCCAUUAUUACUUCAGUUUUUGCUCUCACAUUUAUUUUCUCAUGCCUCCCAACCAAUUGAA
Molecule: unclassified non-coding RNA, 672 nt
Filed under: Hevea brasiliensis (rubber tree)
Lineage: Eukaryota; Viridiplantae; Streptophyta; Magnoliopsida; Malpighiales; Euphorbiaceae
Source: RNAcentral